CAGGUCAUCCAAGGAAACACAUCUACAAAAAUUGGCUCAAAGGCUUAAACUUGUAUCAGUACAACUAUGAUGAUGAGCUGCUACCUAGACAGAGUCUCACCAUGUUGCCUUUGCUGGUCUUAAACUCCUGGACUCAAGCGAUCCUCCCGCCUCGGCCUCCCAAAAUGUUGGGAUUACAGAAAAAAAGCCAUGUAAGGACACAGUAACAAGGCAGUAGUCUACAAGCCAGGAAGAGAGGCCUCACCAGAAGCCAGCCCUGACAGCACCUUGAUCUUGGAGGUCUAGCCUCCAGAACUGUGAGAAAAUAAAUCUCUAUUGCUUAAGCCAUCUAGUCUGUGGUAUUUUGUUAUGGCAGCCCAAGAAGACUAAUAAUUACAACACCCAGACCAAUUAAAUCACAAUCACUCAGAGUGGGACACAGACGACGGUAUUUUGGGAGCUCCUAGGUGAUCUAACGUCUGCACAGGCAAGUUUGGGAACCAUUGCCUUAUUUCAUUCCAGCUUGGAACUUUGAUGGACCUACGCUUUUCUUUCUUGUUAUUAGAUUGCAGAAAAAUAAGAAUAAAAUCAUUAGUAAUUUAUAAGACCACAACAAAACCUGCCUCAAA
Molecule: long non-coding RNA, 608 nt
Organism: Gorilla gorilla gorilla (western lowland gorilla)
Lineage: Eukaryota; Metazoa; Chordata; Mammalia; Primates; Hominidae
Exons: 3
Source: RefSeq, a predicted model, not a curated record